GAGGAAUAUUGGUCAAUGGGCGCAAGCCUGAACCAGCCAUCCCGCGUGAAGGAAGAAGGCGCUAUGCGUUGUAAACUUCUUUUCCAGGGGGAGAAUUUUUCCGUCGUGACGGGAAUUGACGGUACUCUGGGAAUAAGCACCGGCUAACUCCGUGCCAGCAGCCGCGGUAAUACGGAGGGUGCAAGCGUUAUCCGGAUUUAUUGGGUUUAAAGGGUCCGUAGGCGGACUUAUAAGUCAGUGGUGAAAGCCUGUCGCUUAACGAUAGAACUGCCAUUGAUACUGUAAGUCUUGAGUAUAUUUGAGGUAGCUGGAAUAAGUAGUGUAGCGGUGAAAUGCAUAGAUAUUACUUAGAACAUCAAUUGCGAAGGCAGGUUAGCAAGAUAUAACUGACUCUGGGGUACGAAAGCGUGGUGAGCGAACA
Molecule: ribosomal RNA, 421 nt
Filed under: uncultured Cloacibacterium sp.
Lineage: Bacteria; Pseudomonadati; Bacteroidota; Flavobacteriia; Flavobacteriales; Weeksellaceae
Description: bacterial SSU rRNA
Rfam family: Bacterial small subunit ribosomal RNA
Source: RNAcentral